CCUACGGGAGGCAGCAGUGGGGAAUAUUGGACAAUGGGGGCAACCCUGAUCCAGCCAUGUCGCGUGUGUGAAGAAGGCCCUCGGGUUGUAAAGCACUUUCAGUGAGGAAGAACGCCUGGUGGUUAAUACCCAUCAGGAAAGACAUCACCCACAGAAGAAGCACCGGCUAACUCCGUGCCAGCAGCCGCGGUAAUACGGAGGGUGCGAGCGUUAAUCGGAAUUACUGGGCGUAAAGCGCGCGUAGGUGGCUUGAUAAGCCGGUUGUGAAAGCCCCGGGCUCAACCUGGGAACGGCAUCCGGAACUGUCAAGCUAGAGUGCAGGAGAGGAAGGUAGAAUUCCCGGUGUAGCGGUGAAAUGCGUAGAGAUCGGGAGGAAUACCAGUGGCGAAGGCGGCCUUCUGGACUGACACUGACACUGAGGUGCGAAAGCGUGGGUAGCAAACAGGAUUAGAUACCCUUGUAGUC
This 465-nucleotide ribosomal RNA is filed under the name Vreelandella stevensii. RNAcentral's name for it is "partial 16S ribosomal RNA". It matches the Rfam family "Bacterial small subunit ribosomal RNA", at positions 338 to 795 of the family's 1533-position model. The record is from RNAcentral. Lineage: Bacteria; Pseudomonadati; Pseudomonadota; Gammaproteobacteria; Oceanospirillales; Halomonadaceae.